GUCAGAAAAGUCUGAUAAUUAUUGAUGAACUUUUACAUUUGGAGUCCUGUAGCUUCUUAUGGGGUAAGAUAACUUAUUCAUUCAUUCAUUUUCUUAGCCGCUUUGUCCCUUUUGGGGUCGCGGGGUGCUGGGGCCUAACCCGGCUACUGAUGGGCAAAGGCAGGCUUUUACCCUAGACAGAUCGUCAGUCUGUCGCAGGGCCUCAAUCACACACACAUUCACUCUCACAUUCACACCUAGGGACAAUUUAGAGUCACCAACCCAUGAAGCAUGUUUUUGGCCACUUUUUUAUUUAUUUUUUAUUUUUAUUUUGCCAGGCGACAACAGUGGAUCAUACAGACAAUUAAACGGACCCUGGAAGUGGUGGCAAAAGAGAGGUGUUAAUAUGAGAAUCACCCCAGCAGACAGUGGAGGGAUCCCCCUCUUUCUGCUGCUGCCAUUCUGCUGUCUGCCCUCUGGUGACGGUGUUUUGCCAAGGUGAAUGCAGCACCCGACCGCUGCCGAGGAGGAAAGUCGUCACAUUGAGGGUUUUCAGCCUCAUGUCAGCAGAGGAGACACUAAAGCUGCCGCUGAAGAGGAAAAUGGAGGAUAUUAAAUGGGCGACUUGGAUGAUUCACGUGUGAAAGGUUUAGAAUGUGCACCUUGAAGAAUUUCAGAAACUCUACUGUAUACAUUAAAGCACGUGCAUGUGGGUGUACUAAAGAUUAAAAAUGAGAAAAAAAAAUCAUGGCAGUGUAAAAAGACCUUUUAAUUCCAAAAAUGACUAUUUGAAGAAGUCAAGGAGAAAAAAUAUUUUCAGGAUUCUUCUGAACCAAAGCAUUCAUAUCUGCAGGUGUUAAUAGUUUCCUAAGCAGUUCUCUGUCAUGCAGAACUUACAGUUUACAGAGCUGUGACUUUCACGAUUUUAAAUAAACUGGGUUUUUUUUCUGAAACUACUUUCAAACACACACAAAAUAAAACACACACACAGUACCAUACUACAUCCCUUCAAAGGUCCAAAAUCAGAAAACAAGUUGCAUUGUGAUUUGAUAAAGUCCCUCUCUAGUCCAUAAACUCAACAACUCCACCCAUCCAUGUUCUUAACCGGGUUUAUACCUUUUGGGGGUCACAGGGUUACCUGAGCCUUUCCCAGCUAUGGGUGAAGGCAAGACACAAUCACUGCCAUACAGACUCACACAUUUACACCUAGGGACAUUUAAAGUAACCAGUUAACCAAUGAAGCAUGUUUUUGGACAGUAGGAGGAAGCUGGAGUGCUCGAAAAAAAUAAAUAAAUAAAUAAA
Oryzias melastigma (Indian medaka) is the source of this 1281-nucleotide long non-coding RNA. RefSeq lists it as uncharacterized. The transcript has 2 exons. The record is from RefSeq and is a predicted model, not a curated record. NCBI's taxonomy places the organism in Eukaryota, Metazoa, Chordata, Actinopteri, Beloniformes, Adrianichthyidae.